Molecule: ribosomal RNA, 388 nt
Filed under: uncultured bacterium
Lineage: Bacteria
Description: bacterial SSU rRNA
Rfam family: Bacterial small subunit ribosomal RNA
Source: RNAcentral
GACGAACGCUGGCGGCGUGCUUAACACAUGCAAGUCGAGCGGUAAGGCCCUUUUGGGGGUACACGAGCGGCGAACGGGUGAGUAACACGUGGGUGACCUGCCCUCAGCUCUGGGAUAAGCCUGGGAAACUGGGUCUAAUACUGGAUAUGACCUUUCCUCGCAUGGGGUUGGGUGGAAAGUUUUUCGGCUGGGGAUGGGCCCGCGGCCUAUCAGCUUGUUGGUGGGGUGAUGGCCUACCAAGGCGACGACGGGUAGCCGGCCUGAGAGGGCGACCGGCCACACUGGGACUGAGACACGGCCCAGACUCCUACGGGAGGCAGCAGUGGGGAAUAUUGCGCAAUGGGCGGAAGCCUGACGCAGCGACGCCGCGUGGGGGAUGACGGCCUCG